RNAcentral lists this ribosomal RNA (1543 nucleotides) under Escherichia coli. Its description in RNAcentral is "partial 23S ribosomal RNA". It matches the Rfam family "Bacterial large subunit ribosomal RNA", at positions 165 to 1751 of the family's 2925-position model. The record is from RNAcentral. Lineage: Bacteria; Pseudomonadati; Pseudomonadota; Gammaproteobacteria; Enterobacterales; Enterobacteriaceae.
CAUAGGUUAAUGAGGCGAACCGGGGGAACUGAAACAUCUAAGUACCCCGAGGAAAAGAAAUCAACCGAGAUUCCCCCAGUAGCGGCGAGCGAACGGGGAGCAGCCCAGAGCCUGAAUCAGUGUGUGUGUUAGUGGAAGCGUCUGGAAAGGCGCGCGAUACAGGGUGACAGCCCCGUACACAAAAAUGCACAUACUGUGAGCUCGAUGAGUAGGGCGGGACACGUGGUAUCCUGUCUGAAUAUGGGGGGACCAUCCUCCAAGGCUAAAUACUCCUGACUGACCGAUAGUGAACCAGUACCGUGAGGGAAAGGCGAAAAGAACCCCGGCGAGGGGAGUGAAAAAGAACCUGAAACCGUGUACGUACAAGCAGUGGGAGCCUCUUUAUGGGGUGACUGCGUACCUUUUGUAUAAUGGGUCAGCGACUUAUAUUCUGUAGCAAGGUUAACCGAAUAGGGGAGCCGAAGGGAAACCGAGUCUUAACUGGGCGUUAAGUUGCAGGGUAUAGACCCGAAACCCGGUGAUCUAGCCAUGGGCAGGUUGAAGGUUGGGUAACACUAACUGGAGGACCGAACCGACUAAUGUUGAAAAAUUAGCGGAUGACUUGUGGCUGGGGGUGAAAGGCCAAUCAAACCGGGAGAUAGCUGGUUCUCCCCGAAAGCUAUUUAGGUAGCGCCUCGUGAAUUCAUCUCCGGGGGUAGAGCACUGUUUCGGCAAGGGGGUCAUCCCGACUUACCAACCCGAUGCAAACUGCGAAUACCGGAGAAUGUUAUCACGGGAGACACACGGCGGGUGCUAACGUCCGUCGUGAAGAGGGAAACAACCCAGACCGCCAGCUAAGGUCCCAAAGUCAUGGUUAAGUGGGAAACGAUGUGGGAAGGCCCAGACAGCCAGGAUGUUGGCUUAGAAGCAGCCAUCAUUUAAAGAAAGCGUAAUAGCUCACUGGUCGAGUCGGCCUGCGCGGAAGAUGUAACGGGGCUAAACCAUGCACCGAAGCUGCGGCAGCGACACUAUGUGUUGUUGGGUAGGGGAGCGUUCUGUAAGCCUGUGAAGGUGUGCUGUGAGGUAUGCUGGAGGUAUCAGAAGUGCGAAUGCUGACAUAAGUAACGAUAAAGCGGGUGAAAAGCCCGCUCGCCGGAAGACCAAGGGUUCCUGUCCAACGUUAAUCGGGGCAGGGUGAGUCGACCCCUAAGGCGAGGCCGAAAGGCGUAGUCGAUGGGAAACAGGUUAAUAUUCCUGUACUUGGUGUUACUGCGAAGGGGGGACGGAGAAGGCUAUGUUGGCCGGGCGACGGUUGUCCCGGUUUAAGCGUGUAGGCUGGUUUUCCAGGCAAAUCCGGAAAAUCAAGGCUGAGGCGUGAUGACGAGGCACUACGGUGCUGAAGCAACAAAUGCCCUGCUUCCAGGAAAAGCCUCUAAGCAUCAGGUAACAUCAAAUCGUACCCCAAACCGACACAGGUGGUCAGGUAGAGAAUACCAAGGCGCUUGAGAGAACUCGGGUGAAGGAACUAGGCAAAAUGGUGCCGUAACUUCGGGAGAAGGCACGC